RNAcentral lists this ribosomal RNA (371 nucleotides) under uncultured organism. RNAcentral describes it as "partial 16S ribosomal RNA". It matches the Rfam family "Bacterial small subunit ribosomal RNA", at positions 527 to 896 of the family's 1533-position model. The record is from RNAcentral.
GGAGGGCGCAAGCGUUGUUCGGAAUCAUUGGGCGUAAAGCGCGUGUAGGCGGCUUGGCAAGUCGGACGUGAAAGCCCGGGGCUCAACCCCGGAACUGCGCUCGAAACUGCCUCGCUAGAGUCCCGGAGAGGAGGGCGGAAUUCCCGGUGUAGAGGUGAAAUUCGUAGAUAUCGGGAGGAACACCAGCGGCGGAGGCGGCCCUCUGGACGGUGACUGACGCUCAGACGCGAAAGCGUGGGGAGCAAACAGGAUUAGAUACCCUGGUAGUCCACGCCGUAAACGUUGGUGCUAGGUGUCGCGGGUAUUGACCCCCCUGCGGUGCCGCCGUUAACGCAUUUAGCACCCCGCCUGGGAGUACGGUCGCAAGGCUA